This is a long non-coding RNA of Passer domesticus (house sparrow), 899 nucleotides long. RefSeq lists it as uncharacterized. NCBI's taxonomy places the organism in Eukaryota, Metazoa, Chordata, Aves, Passeriformes, Passeridae. The transcript has 4 exons. The record is from RefSeq and is a predicted model, not a curated record.
GGAUCUCCUGCAGUGCCACAGGAGCUCUUCUGUCCUGCCUUUCUUUGCAGCUGAACCUGCUGGUGAAGGUGGAGCAGCUUCCCAAACCACGUCCAGGACUGAGCCUCUGGGAGAUGCUGAGGUGAUGGACCAAACAUCUGGGCAGAAGGAGGCACAUCCUGGAGGAAGCAUUUCCCCAUGGACAGCCCCUGCUGCAGGAAGGAAAGCGAUGCCAGACACGGGCACAGGCACAGCAGAUCUCGUAGAGGUUCACAGCAAGACAGGAACACGUGCCCUGAUUCCACUUUGAUGAAUCCCAAUGAUUUUCUGCUUGCAGGACGGGCACAAGCAGAGCAUGACAGGUGACUUCAACUUGCCAGACAUCUGCUGGGAACUUAAUACAACAGAAGAAAAAGCAGCCCAGGAAAUUUGUAGAGAGUGUGGAGGACAAGUGUUGGUUGCAGCAGGUGGGUGAGCCCAGCAGGGGAGGGACUAUGUUAGAUCUGCUGUUUGCAGAUAGAGGUGGGCUGGGGGGACAUGUGGUGGCUGGAGGCCUCUUGGGGCACAGUGAUCAUGAAAUGAUAGAAUUUGUUGCAUUGCAAGCUGAUCUGUAGUCAGCAUUAAUCAAGUUCUAAGAAGCAGUCCAGCUCAGCUCCAUGAACUAGCCUCUGUGUCUGACUGACAGAAGCUCACAUGCAGUGGGAACUCUCCUAGGAUGCAGACAUUGUCUUGGUUCAGAGUCUGGGGGCACACAGAUAGACCAAUGAGCUGUCUCGGCCCAGGAGAUUUGAGUGGGCUAUAAAAGAACACUCCGGACAAUAAACAAGGCUGUUUUUCUGAGGAAACACGAGUGGUCUGUUGUAUGUUAUGUCUCAGACAGGGGAACACCAAUGUAUCAAGAAUUCUUGGUAUUUUGUGAA